Molecule: ribosomal RNA, 491 nt
Filed under: uncultured bacterium
Lineage: Bacteria
Description: partial 16S ribosomal RNA
Rfam family: Bacterial small subunit ribosomal RNA
Source: RNAcentral
AGUGAACGCUGGCGGUAGGCCUAACACAUGCAAGUCGAACGGCAGCACAGUAAGAGCUUGCUCUUACGGGUGGCGAGUGGCGGACGGGUGAGGAAUACAUCGGAAUCUACUUUUUCGUGGGGGAUAACGUAGGGAAACUUACGCUAAUACCGCAUACGACCUACGGGUGAAAGCAGGGGAUCUUCGGACCUUGCGCGAUUGAAUGAGCCAAUGUCGGAUUAGCUAGUUGGCGGGGUAAAGGCCCACCAAGGCGACGAUCCGUAGCUGGUCUGAGAGGAUGAUCAGCCACACUGGAACUGAGACACGGUCCAGACUCCUACGGGAGGCAGCAGUGGGGAAUAUUGGACAAUGGGCGCAAGCCUGAUCCAGCCAUACCGCGUGGGUGAAGAAGGCCUUCGGGUUGUAAAGCCCUUUUGUUGGGAAAGAAAAGCAGCAGGUUAAUACCCCGCUGUUCUGACGGUACCCAAAGAAUAAGCACCGGCUAACUUCGU